This 292-nucleotide ribosomal RNA is filed under the name uncultured Alphaproteobacteria bacterium. RNAcentral describes it as "partial 16S ribosomal RNA". Lineage: Bacteria; Pseudomonadati; Pseudomonadota; Alphaproteobacteria. The record is from RNAcentral.
GGACUACUGGGGUUUCUAAUCCUGUUUGCUCCCCACGCUUUCGCGCCUCAGCGUCAGUAUCGGACCAGGUCGCCGCCUUCGCCACCGGUGUUCUUCCCAAUAUCUACGAAUUUCACCUCUACACUGGGAAUUCCACGACCCUCUUCCGAACUCAAGCCCAUACGUAUCAAACGCAGCCCCCAGGUUGAGCCCAGGAAUUUCACGUCUGACUGUACAAGCCGCCUACGCGCCCUUUACGCCCAGUCAAUCCGAGUAACGCUAGCCCCCUUCGUAUUACCGCGGCGGCUGGCAC